AAAAAAAUCAAAUUAAAUAUGAAUAUAUUGAAUUUUGAACCUCAUUUGUAGGAGACAGUACUUCAAAAUGUGAUGUAAAAGAUCUUGGACCAGCAGCUAGUGGAAAUGACUACAUUAACUGUAAAAAAGUGAGGAACUAGAUUGCAUGUGUGCACAUAUACACAAGGGAACAGCCAAGAGCCCGUCCAGAUGCCACACUCCAACCAAAGGAUCGUGAUGACAGCCCAUGAUCUCCUGCCUUCAUACAGCAUCUUCAGAAAGGAAAAGAAGUCCAUAUCCACCUGCAGGGAGCAGGAAGAGGUUUGCUGUGUGUCACAGAGAAGCCAGAGCAGAUGGAAGAACGGCAAGACCUUCUGAGUCCAAGCCUCACCCUAGAUACUUAUACUUUUCAGAAGUAUUUGCAUAGUGAGGAAAACAACUGAAUAUUUAUCCAGCCCAUCAGUUGUUUUUGUGUCAGAAGACAAGAGCCUAAUUCUACAGUCCUUGAUCAAGAGUGGAAUAAAGUGACUAAAUCACAAAGUCA
Molecule: long non-coding RNA, 523 nt
Filed under: Anser brachyrhynchus (Pink-footed goose)
Lineage: Eukaryota; Metazoa; Chordata; Aves; Anseriformes; Anatidae
Description: lncRNA (ENSABRG00000003165.1)
Source: RNAcentral